CUACGGGGCGCUGCAGUGGGGAAUAUUGCACAAUGGAGGAAACUCUGAUGCAGCAACGCCGCGUGGAGGAUGACACUUUUCGGAGCGUAAACUCCUUUUAUAUAGGAAGAAGAUGACGGUACUAUAUGAAUAAGCGCCGGCUAACUCCGUGCCAGCAGCCGCGGUAAUACGGAGGGCGCAAGCGUUACUCGGAAUCACUGGGCGUAAAGAGCGUGUAGGCGGAUUAAAAAGUCAGAAGUGAAAUCCUAUAGCUUAACUAUAGAACUGCUUCUGAAACUCUUAAUCUAGAAUAUGGGAGAGGUAGAUGGAAUUUCUGGUGUAGGGGUAACAUCCGUAGAGACCAGAAGGAAUACCGAUUGCGAAGGCGAUCUACUAGAACAUUAUUGACGCUGAGACGCGAAAGCGUGGGGAGCAAACAGGAGUAGAUACCCCAGUAGUC
Molecule: ribosomal RNA, 439 nt
Filed under: uncultured bacterium
Lineage: Bacteria
Description: partial 16S ribosomal RNA
Rfam family: Bacterial small subunit ribosomal RNA
Source: RNAcentral